ACGGAAGGCAGCAGUGGGGAAUAUUGGGCAAUGGGCGAAAGCCUGACCCAGCAACGCCGCGUGAAGGAAGAAGGUCUUCGGAUUGUAAACUUCUUUUAUGAGGGACGAAGGACGUGACGGUACCUCAUGAAUAAGUCACGGCUAACUACGUGCCAGCAGCCGCGGUAAUACGUAGGUGACAAGCGUUAUCCGGAUUUACUGGGCGUAAAGGGCGUGUAGGCGGUCUUGCAAGUCAGAAGUGAAAUUCCUGAGCUCAACUCGGGCGCUGCUUCUGAAACUGCAGGACUUGAGUGCUGGAGGGGAUAGCGGAAUUCCUAGUGGAGCGGUAAAAUGCGCAGAUAUUAGGAAGAACACCGGUGGCGAAGGCGGCUAUCUGGACAGUAACUGACGCUGAGGCGCGAAAGCGUGGGGAGCAAACAGGAUUAGAUACCCUGGUA
This 437-nucleotide ribosomal RNA is filed under the name uncultured Saccharofermentans sp. RNAcentral describes it as "bacterial SSU rRNA". It matches the Rfam family "Bacterial small subunit ribosomal RNA", at positions 341 to 792 of the family's 1533-position model. Lineage: Bacteria; Bacillati; Bacillota; Clostridia; Eubacteriales; Oscillospiraceae. The record is from RNAcentral.